GGACAAUGGGCGCAAGCCUGAUCCAGCAAUGCCGCGUGUGUGAAGAAGGCCUUCGGGUUGUAAAGCACUUUUGUCCGGAAAGAAAACGUCGUGGUUAAUAAAACGAAAAAAGAUGACGGUACCGGAAGAAUAAGCACCGGCUAACUACGUGCCAGCAGCCGCGGUAAUACGUAGGGUGCAAGCGUUAAUCGGAAUUACUGGGCGUAAAGCGUGCGCAGGCGGUCCGCUAAGACAGAUGUGAAAUCCCCGGGCUUAACCUGGGAACUGCAUUUGUGACUGGCGGGCUAGAAUUAGGCCAGAGGGGGGUAGAAUUCCACGUGUAGCAGUGAAAUGCGUAGAGAGAGGGAGGAAUACCGAUGGCGAAGGCAGCCCCCUGGGCCAAUACUGACGCUCAUGCACGAAAGCGUGGGGAGCAAUCAGGAUUAGAUACCCUGGUGUCCACGCC
RNAcentral lists this ribosomal RNA (445 nucleotides) under uncultured bacterium. RNAcentral describes it as "bacterial SSU rRNA". It matches the Rfam family "Bacterial small subunit ribosomal RNA", at positions 366 to 801 of the family's 1533-position model. The record is from RNAcentral.